This 534-nucleotide ribosomal RNA is filed under the name Streptococcus sp. W25. RNAcentral describes it as "bacterial SSU rRNA". It matches the Rfam family "Bacterial small subunit ribosomal RNA", at positions 8 to 524 of the family's 1533-position model. Lineage: Bacteria; Bacillati; Bacillota; Bacilli; Lactobacillales; Streptococcaceae. The record is from RNAcentral.
AGAGUUUGAUCCUGGCUCAGGACGAACGCUGGCGGCGUGCCUAAUACAUGCAAGUAGAACGCUGAAGACUUUAGCUUGCUAGAGUUGGAAGAGUUGCGAACGGGGUGAGUAACGCGUAGGUAACCUGCCUACUAGCGGGGGAUAACUAUUGGAAACGAUAGCUAAUACCGCAUAACAGUGUUUAACACAUGUUAGAUGCUUGAAAGAUGCAAUUCGCAUCACUAGUAGAUGGACCUGCGUUGUAUUAGCUAGUUGGUGGGGUAACGGCCUACCAAGGCGACGAUACAUAGCCGACCUGAGAGGGUGAUCGGCCACACUGGGACUGAGACACGGCCCAGACUCUACGGGAGGCAGCAGUAGGGAAUCUCUCGGCAAUGGGGGCAACCCUGACCGAGAACGCCGCGUGAGUGAAGAAGGUUUUCGGAUCGUAAAGCUCUGUUGUAAGAGAAGAACGUGUGUGAGAGUGGAAAGUUACACAGUGACGGUAACUUACCAGAAAGGGACGGCUAACUACGUGCCAGCAGCCGCGGUAAU